GUGCCAGCAGCCGCGGUAAUACAGAGGGAGCAAGCGUUGUUCGGAAUUACUGGGCGUAAAGGGCGCGCAGGCGGACUUGUAAGUCAGGCGUGAAAACUAUCGGCUCAACUGAUAGAUUGCGUUUGAGACUGCAGGUCUUGAGUACGGGAGAGGAAGGUGGAACUCUGCGUGUAGCGGUGAAAUGCGUAGAUAUGCAGAGGAACACCAGUGGCGAAGGCGGCCUUCUAGCCCGAUACUGACGCUGAGGCGCGAAAGCGUGGGGAGCAAACAGGAUUAGAUACCCUCGUAGUCC
Molecule: ribosomal RNA, 292 nt
Filed under: uncultured bacterium
Lineage: Bacteria
Description: partial 16S ribosomal RNA
Rfam family: Bacterial small subunit ribosomal RNA
Source: RNAcentral